ACCUGCACGAAUGGCGUAAUGAUGGCCAGGCUGUCUCCACCCGAGACUCAGUGAAAUUGAACUCGCUGUGAAGAUGCAGUGUACCCGCGGCAAGACGGAAAGACCCCGUGAACCUUUACUAUAGCUUGACACUGAACAUUGAGCCUUGAUGUGUAGGAUAGGUGGGAGGCUUUGAAGUGUGGACGCCAGUCUGCAUGGAGCCGGCCUUGAAAUACCACCCUUUAAUGUUUGAUGUUCUAACGUUGACCCGUGAUCCGGGUUGCGGACAGUGUCUGGUGGGUAGUUUGACUGGGGCGGUCUCCUCCUAAAGAGUAACGGAGGAGCACGAAGGUUGGCUAAUCCUGGUCGGACAUCAGGAGGUUAGUGCAAUGGCAUAAGCCAGCUUGACUGCGAGCGUGACGGCGCGAGCAGGUGCGAAAGCAGGUCAUAGUGAUCCGGUGGUUCUGAAUGGAAGGGCCAUCGCUCAACGGAUAAAAGGUACUCCGGGGAUAACAGGCUGAUACCGCCCAAGAGUUCAUAUCGACGGCGGUGUUUGGCACCUCGAUGUCGGCUCAUCACAUCCUGGGGCUGAAGUAGGUCCCAAGGGUAUGGCUGUUCGCCAUUUAAAGUGGUACGCGAGCUGGGUUUAGAACGUCGUGAGACAGUUCGGUCCCUAUCUGCCGUGGGCGCUGGAGAACUGAGGGGGGCUGCUCCUAGUACGAGAGGACCGGAGUGGACGCAUCACUGGUGUUCGGGUUGUCAUGCCAAUGGCACUGCCCGGUAGCUAAAUGCGGAAGAGAUAAGUGCUGAAAGCAUCUAAGCACGAAACUUGCCCCGAGAUGAGUUCUCCCUGACUCCUUGAGAGUCCUGAAGGAACGUUGAAGACGACGACGUUGAUAGGCCGGGUGUGUAAGCGCAGCGAUGCGUUGAGCUAACCGGUACUAAUGAACCGUGAGG
Molecule: ribosomal RNA, 936 nt
Filed under: Escherichia coli
Lineage: Bacteria; Pseudomonadati; Pseudomonadota; Gammaproteobacteria; Enterobacterales; Enterobacteriaceae
Description: partial 23S ribosomal RNA
Rfam family: Bacterial large subunit ribosomal RNA
Source: RNAcentral